This 475-nucleotide ribosomal RNA is filed under the name uncultured bacterium. Its description in RNAcentral is "bacterial SSU rRNA". It matches the Rfam family "Bacterial small subunit ribosomal RNA", at positions 29 to 506 of the family's 1533-position model. The record is from RNAcentral.
AGCGAACGUUUGCGGCGGGCCUAACACAUGCAAGUCGAACGCACUAGCAAUAGUGAGUGGCGCACGGGUGCGUAACACGUGGGUAAUCAACCCUUCAGCCUGGGAUAACGACUCGAAAGGGUCGCUAAUACCGGAUACGGCGCGAGAGGCUUCGGCUUCUCACGAGAAAGCCACGCAAGGGGCACUGAAGGACGAGCCUGCGGCCCAUCAGCUAGUUGGUGAGGUAAGAGCUCACCAAGGCUAAGACGGGUAGCUGGUCUGAGAGGAUGAUCAGCCACACUGGAACUGAGACACGGUCCAGACUCCUACGGGAGGCAGCAGUGGGGAAUAUUGCGCAAUGGGCGAAAGCCUGACGCAGCCACGCCGCGUGAGCGAUGAAGGCCUCGGUCGUAAGACUCUGUGGGAGGAGACGAAGAAAGACCUGUGAGAGCAGGCCUUGACGGUAUCUCCUUAGUCAAGCACCGGCUAACUCCGU